UGGUGAUGAAGAUGAUGAUGAUGAUGAUGAUGUGUUUAUGGUGUAACAGGCAGCAGGAGCGGGUGGUGAUGAUGAUGAUGAUGAUGAAGAUGUGUGUUUAUGGUGUAACAGGCAGCAGGAGCGGGUGGUGAUGAUGAUGAUGAUGAUGAUGUGUGUUUAUGGUGUAACAGGCAGCAGGAGCGGGUGAUGAUGAUGAUGAUGAUGAUGUGUGUUUAUGGUGUAACAGGCAGCAGGAGCGGGUGAUGAUGAUGAUGAUGAUGUUUGUUUAUGGUGUAACAGGCAGCAGGAGCGGGUGAUGAUGAUUGAUGAUGAUGAUGAUGUUUGUUUAUGGUGUAACAGGCAGCAGGAGCGGGUGGUGAUGAUGAUGAUGAUGAUGAUGAAGAUGUGUGUUUAUGGUGUAACAGGCAGCAGGGAGCGGUGAUGAUGAUGAUGAUGAUGAUGUUUGUUUAUGGUGUAACAGGCAGCAGGAGCGGGUGAUGAUGAUGAUGAAGAUGUGUGUUUAUGGUGUAACAGGCAGCAGGAGCGGGUGGUGAUGAUGAUGAUGAUGAUGAUGAUGAUGAUGAAGAUGUGUGUUUAUGGUGUAACAGGCAGCAGGAGCGGGUGAUGAUGAUGAUGAUGAUGAUGUUGUUUAUGGUGUAACAGGCAGCAGGAGCGGGUGGUGAUGAUGAUGAUGAUGAUGAUGAUGAUGAUGAAGAUGUGUGUUUAUGGUGUAACAGGCAGCAGGAGCGGGUGGUGAUGAUGAUGGUGAUGAUGAUGAUGAUGUUUGUUUAUGGUGUAACAGGCAGCAGGAGCGGGUGAUGAUGAUGAUGAUGAUGAUGAAGAUGUG
Molecule: long non-coding RNA, 826 nt
Organism: Ictalurus punctatus (channel catfish)
Lineage: Eukaryota; Metazoa; Chordata; Actinopteri; Siluriformes; Ictaluridae
Source: Ensembl